CCCGUCUCUGCUUCCCCCCCCUUCCCCCCCCCCUUUUCUCCCGGCCGACGGAGCUGAAGGGGCGGGGGUUCCUUCCUUGGAGUGUUUCUAGAGCUCGGAGGCUGCUGGUAGGGGGGCACCACUUUCAGAUAAAAACAUAGACCUGAAUGGCAUCAUCCAGUAUCCAAGGAAACCAUGCAGUUUUGAACAUCUGGAGGCCUGAUUUAUUGGAGAUUGCAAAUGUACAGUGUAACAUAGCUGUGGAGAGCGAGAAGAUCAGGAUUGUCAAUGCUGUCAUUGCUUUUACUGGAAUCCCCAGCACGAAUUGAAGGUCUCACUUUGCCACCUAGGCUGGAUGCAAUGCAACGGUAUGUUGAUCUUGGUUCACUGCAGCCUCAACCUCCUGAGCUCAUGUGAUCCUCCCACCUCAGUCCCCCACGUCGCUUGGAUUACAGGCCUGUGCCACCACACCUGGCUAACUUUUUUUGUAAUUUUUGUAGAGACAGGGUCUCACUAUGUUUCCCAUGCUGGUCUUUAAUGCCUGAGCUCAAGCCAUCCGCCUGCCUCGGCCUCCCAAAUUGCUGGGAUUACAGGCAUGAGCCACCAUGCCCAGCCUAAUUCUUCUAAAUCUUAUCCUAGUAAUUAAGCCAGAAUUUUUCUCUGCCAAGACCAAUAGAUGGACCAAGAAGUACUCAUCCUUGUAAACUUUCUUUGGAUAAAUUGCUUACAUAUAAUAAAUUCAGAGUUAAGUAAUAAAAAUAAUGAACUACUGUCUUG
This 756-nucleotide long non-coding RNA is filed under the name Homo sapiens (human). RNAcentral describes it as "HSALNT0091106". Lineage: Eukaryota; Metazoa; Chordata; Mammalia; Primates; Hominidae. The record is from RNAcentral.